Transfer RNA from Camelus ferus (Wild Bactrian camel), 72 nucleotides. It matches the Rfam family "tRNA". Rfam says of the family: Transfer RNA (tRNA) molecules are approximately 80 nucleotides in length. Lineage: Eukaryota; Metazoa; Chordata; Mammalia; Artiodactyla; Camelidae. The record is from Rfam.
GAGGGUAUAGCUCAGUGGUAAAGCACAUGCUUAGCAUGCGUGAGGUCCUGAGUUCAAUCCCCAGUACCUCCA